UACGUAGGGGGCAAGCGUUGUCCGGAUUAUUGGGCGUAAAGAGCGUGUAGGCGGCCAUACAGGUCCGUUGUGAAAACUGGAGGCUUAACCUCCAGACGUCGAUGGAAACCGUAUGGCUAGAGUCCGGAAGAGGAGAGUGGAAUUCCUGGUGUAGCGGUGAAAUGCGCAGAUAUCAGGAAGAACACCCGUGGCGAAGGCGGCUCUCUGGGACGGUACUGACGCUGAGACGCGAAAGCGUGGGGAGCGAACAGG
This 252-nucleotide ribosomal RNA is filed under the name uncultured bacterium. RNAcentral describes it as "partial 16S ribosomal RNA". It matches the Rfam family "Bacterial small subunit ribosomal RNA", at positions 524 to 776 of the family's 1533-position model. The record is from RNAcentral.